Molecule: ribosomal RNA, 433 nt
Filed under: uncultured bacterium
Lineage: Bacteria
Description: partial 16S ribosomal RNA
Rfam family: Bacterial small subunit ribosomal RNA
Source: RNAcentral
AACGAACGCUGGCGGCAUGCCUAACACAUGCAAGUCGAACGAGACCUCCGGGUCUAGUGGCGCACGGGGGCGUCACGCGUGGGAACCUGCCCUUAGGCUCGGAAUAAUUCCUCGUAAGGGGUGCUAAUACAGGAAAACUUACUCGGACCAAAGAUUUAUCGUCUUUGGAUGGGCCCGCGAUGGUUUAGCCUGUUGGUAGGGUAAAAGCCUAUGAAGGCGUCGAUCCAUAGCUGGGUUGAGAGGAAGAGCAGCCACACUUGGACUAAGACACGGCCGGGACUCCUAGGGGAGGCGGCAGUGGGGGAUAUUGGACAAUGGGGGAAGGCCUGAUCCAGCAAUGCCGCGUGAGUGAUGAAGGCCUUAGAGAUAUGAAGCACUUUUACCCGGGGUGAUAAUGACGGUACCGGGAGAAUAAGCACCGGCUAACUCCGUG